Molecule: unclassified non-coding RNA, 8189 nt
Filed under: Octopus sinensis (East Asian common octopus)
Lineage: Eukaryota; Metazoa; Mollusca; Cephalopoda; Octopoda; Octopodidae
Description: vacuolar protein sorting-associated protein 8 homolog, transcript variant X1
Source: RNAcentral
CUGGUUAUUGUAAAUAAAUACAAUAAGUGUUUAAGAAUGGUUUUGCAUAAAAAAAAAUUCCAAACAAGUCGUUUUAUCUUUUAAAAUAUUUAAAUCUUUGUCGUAAACACAGAAUAAGCCACAGCGAAUAUUUUACAAAAUGAUUUAUUAUUGAAUAACGUUUAUUACUUAUUUGAAAGAACCGAGAAUAUGGAAUAACAGUUGAGGUGUAUUCCGUCAAUCUGGUGAGAAGAUGGCUGAAAGUCAAGAUGUAAGUGCUAGUACAGAUAUCGCAGAAGUGUUAAAUGCAGCCGAAGAAGAGUUGGAUGCUCAAGAAUUUGAUUUACCUCCUGUAGAAACUCCUCCGACUUUAGAAAGCAUUCUUAAUGCACCUGAUGAUGAUGAUGAACUUCUGUUGGAAGAUGAGGAACUUGGUUCCUUGUCCCAACUGUACAAAGGGGAUUCUGUGGAGACGUCCUCCAUGUCCAGUCAGGACAGUCUCAUCUCCGAUCGACCCAGACAAAGGACAGCAGCCAAAAGACAAAGUAGUUCUGAAGCCCAUGGCACCGUGCUAAAACCGAGUAAACUGAAAAAUAUUUCAGCUCAGCUGAAGUCUGCUGCAAACAGAGUGGAUGCUGGGAAGCCAUCAGCAAUAGCUGUGGCAUCCCUUAUAGCAAUUGGGACAUCCCAUGGCAUUGUACUAGUUUUCGAUCCACGCCAGGUAUUGAAAUGGUGUCUAGGAAGUACAGCUGUUGGGGCCCAGUAUGGAUCAGUGUCAGCUCUCAGUUUCAACAGAGAUUGUUCUCGAUUGCUCUGUGGCUUUGCUAAAGGCCAGAUUACCAUGUGGGAUUUAACAAAUGGAAAAUUACUCCGGACCAUCACUGAUGCUCACCCACCUGGAACUGCUGUUCUACAUGUUAAAUUCACUGACAGCCCUGUGAUUGCUGUGUGCAGUGACAGUGGAGGGUCUGUGUUUGAACUGGAAUUCAAGAGGUUGAUCGGGGUGAGGACCUGUGAAUCGAAGUGCCUGUUUUCAGGAAGUCGAGGAGAAGUGUGUGUCAUAGAACCACUACACAUGAAUUAUACCAUACAGGACCAUCCCAUGCAUGAUGUUAUGAUUCUGGCCAUGGCAUCUUUGUCCAAGGUAUUAAUUGUGACUCUGAGACCUCAGCUGAAGAUAAUGUUCACUCAUCCAUUAAAGGGUGAUUCUUCCACUCUGCCACUUCUUGCCUGGCAGUUUGUCAUCAUCCAAAUCUCUGAAAGUGACCGUGUCAUCGAUCCAGUGUUGGCAUUCGCUCGAGAUAGCACCAUCUACUUCUACCAGGUAAAAGAAUAUCUACUUAAGACUCAUCAUUCCCUAGCAAGUAGAUUCAAGACCACAGAGGGUUCCGAGAUGGUGAUAUGCAAUAAUGCCCAAGAUAUCCGCUGUUCAGGUUUGCAGAAAAUGGAACUACCUUACAAACUUCUUUCGAUAACUUGGAUGAACCCAAGGACACUAGUUACAUUGGACACUACAGAAAAGAUUCAUGUUAUAGAUGUGAAGUCCGAAGAAGAGUUAGAAAUCGUUGACAUUGCUGAUGUCCAACUGGUUUAUGGAUCUAGUCACUUCAAGUCUUUAGCAACAGGAGGAAACGUCAGUGAAGCUCUGGCAUUUGCUGGUGAACAAGCGUGUUAUCAGUCUGUGGUCAGCCAUGGUGGUCAGCUGUUUCUACUAGGAACUGAAUCUGUUACAGUCUUUUCUGUGAGGUCAUGGAUGGAGAGAAUUGAGGUCCUUGUGAAACAGAACAAAUACAGAAGUGCCCUUGCUUUGGCUCUGUCCUUCUAUGAAGGAAAGGCUAAAGCUGUUGUUGGACUGGUCGGUUCUUCUAGAAAACGAAAAGGCAUUGUGAAAGAUUUAAUGUUGAAUCUGUUGUUUGAAUUUGUGGAUUUAUCAAUGACUCAGUUUUGUCCUGAAAAGGGGAAAAUUGAAACUUUGGAAGACUAUUACCAGGGUAUCGUUCCAGUGUGUGUAGACUAUUGCCUAUGCUUGGAAUGUGUUGAUAUAUUAUUUGGUCGAAUUUACGAUCGUUUCGGAAUGGAUGUAAUUGCAAAAGACACGUUCUUAGAGUGCCUGGAACCAUACAUUCUUGAUGACAAACUCAGUUCCAUCCCACCGACCGUUAUGAAGGAUUUCGUUGAGCAUUACGAAGGCAAAGGAAUGCUGGAGAGUGUGGAAGCGUGCAUCGUCCACCUUGAAGUGACCACGUUGGAUAUACACCACAUUGUCCAUCUCUGUUGGAACCAUGGUUUAUACGAUGCCAUAAUUUAUGUCUACAACAAGGGAAUGAAUGAUUACACCACCCCACUUGAAGAAUUAUUGAUUUUACUGGAAGCAGCUAUUAACACUGGUAAACAACUGACUGAUGAUCAAAUCAAACUUGGAAAUAAACUUCUUGUCUAUAUCAGCUAUUGUUUAGCUGGUCGUGGUUAUCCACUCGGAGAUAUUCCAGAAGAAUUUAUCCCAGAAGUCAAAGAACAGGUCUUCAAAUGUGUCAGCUGUUUGCACCGGACCAAGUCAAAAGAAAAUGAACCAGCUUAUCCUCACCUGAGAACUCUUCUUCAGUUUGAUACAAUAGAAUUCCUCAAUGUCUUGGCAUUGGCUUUCGAAGAACCGGAAUUCAAUACAGAUGAAGGGAUCCAGAAACGCCAGAGAGUGAUUGACAUCCUAUUACAGGUGAUGGUUGAAAGUGUUGGAUUCAAUCCCAGUCAAAUUGGAACGCUGUUCACAUUCCUCGCACGACAGAUGGCAAGACACGAAAACACCAUCCUAGUGAACCGUGUCCUAUUUGAGCAAGUUCUAGAGUUCCUGUCGAACCCAGACGAGGCGACACGUCACGAAGAGAGACAACAGGCCAUGAUGGAGUUACUAAUGGUUGGCGGCUUGAGCAUAUUUAGCGACCAACGUCUUUUGCAACUUGCUGAAAAUGCCAAAUUUUACCGAGUUUGUGAGUUUGUCUAUGAGAAGAACCACCAUUACGACAAAAUUCUUGUUUGUCACUUAAAAGACUACACCAGGCGGCAUAUGGUAUUUCCUUAUAUUAACCGCAUCCUUCAUGGAGAUGGCUAUAGUGCUGCUGAGAAAGAGUCUGUUAAAGUUGCUGCUCUUGAGAACUUAAUUGAUUUAGUGAACAUAGACUGUAAGAAAGCAGCCAAAGUAGUCAUCUUCAGUUUGUCUUGUAAUCUCAGUGAUGUGGUGGAACAACUGAGGAACAAACCAAGAAUACUCUAUGAUUUUUUACAAGGAGUACUUUCAUACAAGGAAUCGGUUGGAAACCAUGUCAACCCAGACAAGCAAGUCACCAUAGAACCAAUCAUCUAUGAACUCUACAUUGACCUCCAGUGCCAGUUCCAUACCAGUAAUGUGUACAACUUCAUCAAGAAUGUCGAUGGAUACCGGCUGGAGGAAACUCUCAAGAUCAUAAACAAAUAUGACAUACCCUGUGCUUCUGCCCACAUCUUGGAGAAAAUGGGAGAUAUCCUUGGAGCAUUCAACAUAAUGUUAGCAACUUUGAAUAAAAAGGUCCACACAUUUACGGAUGCAAUUCUUUCAAAGAAACCAACCAAAGCGGAGGCAGUUAUUCAGCUCCAAGAAGUUCAAGCCAGUCUGUUAGUGGUGAUCCAACUUUGUCAAAGAAACUCUGGGAAAAUGGAUGAAGGGAGUCGAGAGGCCAUGUGGUUCCCGUUGUUAGAAUCUAUGAUGGCCCCUCAGAGAAAACUUAAAGACUUGGAUGACCGAGAAAUAAUUACAGACAUUCAGGAGUUGACUCACCAUAUUCUCAACAGUAUGAUGGGAUACAUAGCUUUGCCUUCUAUUUUACAGAAGAUUAUGCAGGACCCAGCAUACAACACUGGCAAGUUUGGUGAAGUGAAAGAAUUAAUCUUGGGAAUGUUAGAAACAUACAAUUAUGAAGAGACAUUGAUGAAAACCUGCAAGAACCUGCUGCAUCAUGAUCUCCACCUACACUUGAGGCGUCUGAGGUCCGAGGCUGUGAAGGGCUUCAUGCCCUGCACCGAACACUGCAGCCUGUGCAACAAGACACUGUCCCAUGCUGCCGAUGCCGACCUCCUACUUAUAUUCAGAUGUGGCCAUAGUUACCACACGAGCUGCCUGCGUGGAAUUGGUUCGUUACACGUAAUUGAUGGUGAAGAUUAUUGGAGCUGUUAUUUAUGCAGUAACUCAAAGAAAAAAGGUCGUACUCAGAGUACACGUUUCCACAGAGCCUCCACCUUGAGCUCAGUUGCUGCUCAGUCUAGUCAUGGUGGGGCCCUGGCAACACAGUCCAAAGAGGAAUAUAUUGACCCUCAGCAUGCUGAAGCCUUUGAAAAUUUACGGAAAUCCAUGAAAACCCCUUCAAGGUUGGCCAUUUUGACAGAACUCUCAAAGAAUCCCACUUCUCAAACAGCCAUGAAACGAACAAGCAGCAUUCUGAAAAACGAAAAUUUCAACCUUCGUCUUGCCCCACCGAGGUCCGAGAUUUACUUCUAGAAAAACAAGAACAAGAAAAUAUUAUAAUAAUAAUAAUAAUAAUAAAAAAAAUGAACUGUAAUAUAACUUUCGUAUUGUAACAUACAGCUCACAUAUAUUAAGAAACAAAAAGAAACUAAAUAAGAACAAAUAAAUGAUACCAAAAAAUUUUUUUUAAAUAAACUCGUUAACAUUUAUAGAUUGAUUGGGGGUGGGAGGCAGUGUUGCAGUUGAAUACAUCGAAUCCAGUAUAUUACUGGUAUUUUAAAUUUUAUCAACUGCAGAACUAUUAGAGAGUUCACCCCCUAUCAAAGGGAUGAAACUAAACGUUGCACAGCAUUUUGUCCGAUGCUCUACUGAUUCUACAAACCCACCACAAAAACAUUUGUAUAUUUUUCAUAGUGAAACAUGGACAUAUGAAUGGCAGUGGAACUAAGGCGUUUGCUUUGCAACUGUGUAGUUCUGGGGUCAGUCCCACUGCAUGGCAGCAUAGGAGUAUGCCUAAGUCUUCUACUAUACGGUCAGGUUGACAAAUGCCUUGGGAUUAAAAUUUCAUAAAUGGAAACUGUACUGAAGCUCAUCAUAUAUAUAUAUAUAUAUAUAUAUAUAUAUAUAUACGUGUGUGCAUAUAUGUAUGUGUGUACAUAUAUAUAUGUGUGUAUAUAUAUAUAGUAGCAGCAUUAUUUAAUGUUCCUGUUCCAUGCUGGCAUGGCUGUGGAGUAGGUGGGGUUGACAGUUUAACAGGAUUUGAUGGGCCCAGGUACUGCACUGUAUUCUAGUGUCUGCUUAAGCAGAUUUUCCACAGUUGGAUGCCCUUCCUAAUGCUAACCCCUUGACAGCAUGUAGUGGGUGCUUGUUUAUGUGCUCCUGGCACUAGUGAGGUUGCCUGAAGCUUGCAAGGCCAUGAAGCCUGAAAGACAACUUUAUGUUAGGAGAUAGGGGCCAAAGGAUCGGUAAAAGUGAGUAUAUGUGUGUGCAAAGCUGUAAAAUCAGUGCAUGGAACAAAAUGUAAUUUGUUGUAUUGAGUCCAACCCAUGCUAGCAUGGAAAGCAGACGUCAAAUGCAGAUGAUGAUGAUGAAGUCAUUAUCAGAGACUAAUUCUGGAAGGUUGUGUUCUAGAAAUGGCUGUAGUCUAAUGACUGCCUCCACUAAAAGAAUGCCUGCACAAAAACCACACACACACACACACACACACAUAUGCAUAGACAUUACAUAAAAAAAAACAACCCAACAACAAACCAAAAACAAUGUGGCUUCUUUGAUGGUAAAACAGAAGCUGUUUCGACCUGUGAUAAAAAGAAAAAAUAAUUUUGUAAAUGAAUUAAUUAUUGCUUCGUUAGUUAUCCUGUCUCAUUCAUUGGUCCUCAUUGCAGGUGUGUGUGUGUGUGUGUAUUGAUGAUGAUGAUGAUGAUGAUGGCUAAAUGUAAUAAGAUAAUGAAGUACCUGCUCUCUCUCUCUCAUUGGCUCAUUAGUUAAUUCAAAUCUACUGCUGUCGUUUCAUGGCAUUUUCUUUCCAUUUUUGGGGGGACAGUUUGAACAUAGAUAAAACAAGCUGAAUACUUGGGCCGGAUGGGGCCAGUUUAAAUGUUAAAUGGUUAAUGGCAUCAAUCUCACAGAUCUAAGAAGGUCCUGCACAAUAGCCAUGACCAUUGCCUCUCCUUCCAAGCCCAUCCAGCAAAGAAAAAAGGAUAAAAUCAAAAAUUUAUUCUGUUUGGAAACUUGAAACAGCUCAGCUGAGUGAUUUAACACUGAAGUAGACUAGCUUCAUAUCCAGGGGUGGAAAGAUUUAUUUAUCCUAAAUGGAUUACCAUUAGGCACCAAGCAGUCAUGUCAGCAGAUUCUGCUAAAGGCUACCCAGGUACCGAAUGGCUAUAUUAAGUGAAGUGAUAGAUUACAACUACCACUACCAUCUCACCAAAGGGCUGGUCGGUGCAGUGUAUCAAUUUUACAAGCUUCUGCACAGUUUCCAUCUACAUAAGGUUUUCCUCAAGACAAGGAAUGCUUUGUCCAAAACCUAUGAUAGUAAACAAUAUCUGCUUAAUAUGACUCAUUGUGGAUUUGAACCUAGAACCAACGGUUUUGUGAAACAAGCUUCUUAACCAUUUGGCCAUGCAUUCUUCACCUCUGCUCAGCUGACAAACAAGUUCCUUUCUCCCCCACUCCUAAAGGGUUAAAUUAACCCUUUAGCAUUAUUUUAUUUAACCCUUUAACAUUUAUGGUCAAACUAACCAGAGAUGGCCUCUCACACCUACCCUACAAUAUCAUUCUAAAAAGUUAAACAAUCACAUCAUUGAAAUCUGAAAGCUACAAGAUAUUGCAUGAUUCAUUCAAAACCAUGUGAAUAAAUAAACGCUUGACAGAGUUAUUGAGUGUGAAAGGGUUAAAGACAAGAAUUUGAUUUCGUAAAUAGCAACAUAAUUUCAAUGAUAUGAAAUGAAAUAACUGCAUAUGAAAAAGUUCAAGUUGUUUUUCUUUCAAAACAUCCAUCUAAGAUACUGUUUUAAUUAGCUUCACAAUGCCUCACUACAUUAAUUAUGCUAAUUACAUUUACUUUAUUAUUUUUCCAUGCAGAUGGCGCCUCUGAGUAAUCUCCCUCAGUGAAUAAAUUAUUUUUUCUUUUCUUUUUUAAAUUUGCUAAUUUUUCAUGCUUAAUUAAGUACAUUUAAAUAAUUACUUACUCAAUGAUUCGCUUGUUAUUGGAUAUGUACAGGAAAGUUGUAUGCUUUGCUUGUCGCAGUUAAAAUGCCUUGACAGCAGUGGUGGAGGUGAUGGUGGUGGCAGUGGUGGUGGUGUAAUUCACUUUGAGGGUGGCUGAAUAACUUCAGCUCAAAUUUACUUAGGAUUUGAAACUUCCUGGAGGAGGGGAAGGAAAGGAACAUUUGUCCAUGAGGAACUUAACUGCAUCCCAGACAAGUUUGGUAGAGUAAUUAAAUUGACAUCCUGUUUGGAAUACGGUUCCACAGCAAAAAUGGUCGCUGCUCCACUGGAACCAUCUUUCCUCUGACAAGACACUCUACACGGUUCCGUCUGAGAAUAGACACCCUUCUCACCAGAGAGAAAAGCCAGAAAUUCCAAGGGAAAUUGCAAGUUCAUUACAUCCACAACCCCAGUAUGCAGCUGGUACUUUGUUAUUGGCCCUAAAAGACUGAAAGGCAAAGUCCACCUUGGUGGAAUUUGUACCCAGGACAUUAAUGCUGAAGAAAUGCUGCUAAGCAUCUCAUCUGACUCAUUAACGAUUCUGCUGCCUUAACGAUUAUGAUUCUUUCUACUAGAGGUACAGGGUUUGAAGUUUGCGAGGAGGCUAGUUGACUUCACUGACCCUCCCAGUGUUUCACUGGUACUUUAUUUUAUCCCCAAAAGGAUAAGAAGGCAAAGCUGACCUUGGUGGAAUUUGAACCUGGAACACAAAGAGCUGGGAGAAAUGCCAUCUUACCUGGCUCUCAGUGACUCUACCACUUCAUCGCAGUAUCUCCGGGUCAAGUUAUGAAACUUUUACAUAGUCACAUCUUUGCCUGAUCAUGCCUGAUCAGAACUUACAUCAUAAGAGGGGGGGAUGGGCAAGGAAGGAGUGGAAAGACUAUUCUGCAGUUGAAAUUAAUUAUUGUAAUUACUGAACAGAAAUGACAACGUUUGUGAAGCUUAAUAAUGUAAAUACGAAGUAAUUAAAUAAGGUUAAACCCGUCUCAGAAUAAAGAAUAAAAGUUUC